AUCGCUUCUGGGCUUUUUGGCUAAGAUCAAGUAUCUGUUCUUACCACUUUAAUAUCGGGUAGGCCCUCUAGCCGAGGACAAUAUACUAAAUGGGUUUUUGGAGCUGGAAGGUGGAAUAGUUGCUUGCUCCAUCCACUGUGCCCAUUGACCUGGCAUUGUAAUGCCUCCAAGAAGAGUGUACUCCCG
This 186-nucleotide small nuclear RNA is filed under the name Chinchilla lanigera (long-tailed chinchilla). RNAcentral describes it as "U2 spliceosomal RNA (ENSCLAG00000020933.1)". It matches the Rfam family "U2 spliceosomal RNA". Rfam says of the family: U2 is a small nuclear RNA (snRNA) component of the spliceosome (involved in pre-mRNA splicing). The record is from Rfam by way of RNAcentral. Lineage: Eukaryota; Metazoa; Chordata; Mammalia; Rodentia; Chinchillidae.